RNAcentral lists this ribosomal RNA (492 nucleotides) under uncultured bacterium. RNAcentral describes it as "partial 16S ribosomal RNA". It matches the Rfam family "Bacterial small subunit ribosomal RNA", at positions 29 to 507 of the family's 1533-position model. The record is from RNAcentral.
AGUGAACGCUGGCGGUAGGCCUAACACAUGCAAGUCGAACGGCAGCACAGUAAGAGCUUGCUCUUACGGGUGGCGAGUGGCGGACGGGUGCGGAAUACAUCGGAAUCUACUUUUUCGUGGGGGAUAACGUAGGGAAACUUACGCUAAUACCGCAUACGACCUACGGGUGAAAGCAGGGGAUCUUCGGACCUUGCUCGAUUGAAUGAGCCGAUGUCGGAUUAUCUAGUUGGCGGGGUAAAGGCCCACCAAGGCGACGAUCCGUAGCUUGUCUGAGAGGAUGAUCAGCCACACUAGAACUGACGCACGGUCCAUACUCCUACGGGAGGCAGCAGUCGAGAAUAUUGGACAAUGGGCGCAAGCCUGAUCCAGCCAUACCGCGUCGGUGAAGAAGGCCUUCGGGUUGUAAAGCCCUUUUGUUGGGAAAGAAAAGCAGCAGGUUAAUACCCCGCUGUUCUGACGGUACCCAAAGAAUAAGCACCGGCUAACUUCGUG